RNAcentral lists this ribosomal RNA (253 nucleotides) under uncultured bacterium. RNAcentral's name for it is "partial 16S ribosomal RNA". It matches the Rfam family "Bacterial small subunit ribosomal RNA", at positions 524 to 776 of the family's 1533-position model. The record is from RNAcentral.
UACGUAGGGUGCAAGCGUUAAUCGGAAUUACUGGGCGUAAAGGGUGCGCAGGCGGUUUUUUAAGUCAGAUGUGAAAUCCCCGGGCUCAACCUGGGAAUGGCAUUUGAGACUGGAAGGCUAGAGUGUGUCAGAGGGGGGUAGAAUUCCACGUGUAGCAGUGAAAUGCGUAGAUAUGUGGAGGAAUACCGAUGGCGAAGGCAGCCCCCUGGGAUAACACUGACGCUCAGGCACGAAAGCGUGGGGAGCAAACAGG